Molecule: ribosomal RNA, 420 nt
Filed under: Fusobacteriota bacterium
Lineage: Bacteria; Fusobacteriati; Fusobacteriota
Description: Fusobacteria bacterium partial 16S ribosomal RNA
Rfam family: Bacterial small subunit ribosomal RNA
Source: RNAcentral
UGGGGGAUAUUGCACAAUGGGCGAAAGCCGGAUGCAGCGACGCCGCGUGGGGGAUGAAGGCCUUCGGGUUGUAAACUUCUUUUGCUCUGAACAAGGCAUGCCUUUGGGGUGUGUUGAGUGUAGGGGUUGAUUAGCGCCGGCUAACUACGUGCCAGCAGCCGCGGUAAUACGUAGGGCGCGAGCGUUGUCCGGAAUUAUUGGGCGUAAAGGGCUUGUAGGUGGCUGGUUGCGUCUGUCGUGAAAGCUCAUGGCUUAACUGUGGGUUUGCGGUGGGUACGGGCUGGCUUGAGUGCAGUAGGGGAGGCUGGAAUUCCUGGUGUAGCGGUGGAAUGCGCAGAUAUCAGGAGGAAUACCGGUGGCGAAGGCGGGUCUCUGGGCUGUUACUGACGCUGAGGAGCGAAAGCGUGGGGAGCGAACAGG